RNAcentral lists this ribosomal RNA (103 nucleotides) under uncultured eukaryote. RNAcentral's name for it is "partial small subunit ribosomal RNA". It matches the Rfam family "Eukaryotic small subunit ribosomal RNA", at positions 1678 to 1800 of the family's 1831-position model. The record is from RNAcentral.
GCUCCUACCGAUUGGAUGACUCGGUGAAAUCACCGGAUUUGCUUUUUUGCAUAGAAAGUGAUUAAAUCACGUUAUCUAGAGGAAGGAGAAGUCGUAACAAGGU